GGGCUCGUAGCUCAGCUGGCUAGAGCGCCGCCCUUGCAAGGCGGAGGCCUCGGGUUCAAAAGACUGACCCAGUUUAAACCUGCUGGGCAGGAUUGAAAGUCCCGACGAGUCCA
RNAcentral lists this transfer RNA (113 nucleotides) under Candidatus Woesearchaeota archaeon. Its description in RNAcentral is "tRNA-Ala". It matches the Rfam family "tRNA". Rfam says of the family: Transfer RNA (tRNA) molecules are approximately 80 nucleotides in length. Their secondary structure includes four short double-helical elements and three loops (D, anti-codon, and T loops). The record is from RNAcentral. Lineage: Archaea; Nanobdellati; Candidatus Woesearchaeota.